RNAcentral lists this ribosomal RNA (455 nucleotides) under uncultured bacterium. Its description in RNAcentral is "bacterial SSU rRNA". It matches the Rfam family "Bacterial small subunit ribosomal RNA", at positions 29 to 533 of the family's 1533-position model. The record is from RNAcentral.
AACGAACGCUGGCGGCAGGCUUAACACAUGCAAGUCGAACGCCCCGCAAGGGGAGUGGCAGACGGGUGAGUAACGCGUGGGAAUCUACCCAGUUCUACGGAACAACUGAGGGAAACUUCAGCUAAUACCGUAUACGCCCUACGGGGAAGAUUUAUCGGAAUUGGAUGAGCCCGCGUUGGAUUAGCUAGUUGGUGAGGUAACGGCUCACCAAGGCGACGAUCCAUAGCUGGUCUGAGAGGAUGAUCAGCCACACUGGGACUGAGACACGGCCCAGACUCCUACGGGAGGCAGCAGUGGGGAAUAUUGGACAAUGGGCGCAAGCCUGAUCCAGCCAUGCCGCGUGAGUGAUGAAGGCCUUAGGGUUGUAAAGCUCUUUCAGUGGGGACGAUAAUGACGGUACCCACAGAAGGAGCCCCGGCUAACUUCGUGCCAGCAGCCGCGUAAGAGUGUCUGUA